RNAcentral lists this ribosomal RNA (497 nucleotides) under uncultured bacterium. Its description in RNAcentral is "partial 16S ribosomal RNA". It matches the Rfam family "Bacterial small subunit ribosomal RNA", at positions 28 to 507 of the family's 1533-position model. The record is from RNAcentral.
GAUGAACGCUGACGGCGUGCCUAAUACAUGCAAGUCGAGCGAACGGACGAGAAGCUUGCUUCUCUGAUGUUAGCGGCGGACGGGUGAGUAACACGUGGAUAACCUACCUAUAAGACUGGGAUAACUUCGGGAAACCGGAGCUAAUACCGGAUAAUAUUUUGAACCGCAUGGUUCAAAAGUGAAAGACGGUCUUGCUGUCACUUAUAGAUGGAUCCGCGCUGCAUUAGCUAGUUGGUAAGGUAACGGCUUACCAAGGCAACGAUGCAUAGCCGACCUGAGAGGGUGAUCGGCCACACUGGAACUGAGACACGGUCCAGACUCCUACGGGAGGCAGCAGUAGGGAAUCUUCCGCAAUGGGCGAAAGCCUGGCGGAGCAACGCCGCGUGAGUGAUGAAGGUCUUCGGAUCGUAAAACUCUGUUAUUAGGGAAGAACAUAUGUGUAAGUAACUGUGCACAUCUUGACGGUACCUAAUCAGAAAGCCACGGCUAACUACGUG